UGCCUUACACAUGCAAGUCGAACGGCAGCACGGGAGCAAUCCUGGUGGCGAGUGGCGAACGGGUGAGUAAUAUAUCGGAACGUGCCCAGUCGUGGGGGAUAACGUAGAGAAAUUUACGCUAAUACCGCAUACGAUCCACGGAUGAAAGCGGGGGACUCCGCAAAGGGCCUCGCGCGACUGGAGCGGCUGAUAUCAGAUUAGGUUGUUGGUGAGGUAAAAGCUCACCAAGCCGACGAUCUGUAGCUGGUUUGAGAGAACGACCAGCCACACUGGGACUGAGACACGGCCCAGACUCCUACGGGAGGCAGCAGCGGGGAAUUUUGGACAAUGGGCGCAAGCCUGAUCCAGCAAUGCCGCGUGCAGGAAGAAGGCCUUCGGGUUGUAAAGCUC
RNAcentral lists this ribosomal RNA (390 nucleotides) under uncultured organism. RNAcentral describes it as "bacterial SSU rRNA". It matches the Rfam family "Bacterial small subunit ribosomal RNA", at positions 45 to 433 of the family's 1533-position model. The record is from RNAcentral.